This 740-nucleotide ribosomal RNA is filed under the name Acinetobacter baumannii. Its description in RNAcentral is "bacterial SSU rRNA". It matches the Rfam family "Bacterial small subunit ribosomal RNA", at positions 121 to 849 of the family's 1533-position model. Lineage: Bacteria; Pseudomonadati; Pseudomonadota; Gammaproteobacteria; Moraxellales; Moraxellaceae. The record is from RNAcentral.
GGAAUCUGCCUAUUAGUGGGGGACAACAUCUCGAAAGGGAUGCUAAUACCGCAUACGUCCUACGGGAGAAAGCAGGGGAUCUUCGGACCUUGCGCUAAUAGAUGAGCCUAAGUCGGAUUAGCUAGUUGGUGGGGUAAAGGCCUACCAAGGCGACGAUCUGUAGCGGGUCUGAGAGGAUGAUCCGCCACACUGGGACUGAGACACGGCCCAGACUCCUACGGGAGGCAGCAGUGGGGAAUAUUGGACAAUGGGGGGAACCCUGAUCCAGCCAUGCCGCGUGUGUGAAGAAGGCCUUAUGGUUGUAAAGCACUUUAAGCGAGGAGGAGGCUACUCUAGUUAAUACCUAGGGAUAGUGGACGUUACUCGCAGAAUAAGCACCGGCUAACUCUGUGCCAGCAGCCGCGGUAAUACAGAGGGUGCGAGCGUUAAUCGGAUUUACUGGGCGUAAAGCGUGCGUAGGCGGCUUAUUAAGUCGGAUGUGAAAUCCCCGAGCUUAACUUGGGAAUUGCAUUCGAUACUGGUGAGCUAGAGUAUGGGAGAGGAUGGUAGAAUUCCAGGUGUAGCGGUGAAAUGCGUAGAGAUCUGGAGGAAUACCGAUGGCGAAGGCAGCCAUCUGGCCUAAUACUGACGCUGAGUACGAAAAGCAUGGGGAGCAAACAGGAUUAAGAUACCCUGGGUAGUCCAUGCCGGUAAACGAUGUCUACUAGCCGGUUGGGGCCUUUGAAGGCCUUUAGUGGCGC